AGGAUGAACGCUGGCGGCGUGUCUAAGGCAUGCAAGUCGAAUGGUCUGGUUUCCAGACCAUGGCAAACGGGAGAGUAACACAUUGGUAAUUUACCCCAAAGACGAGAAUAAUCCAGAGAAAUCUGGAAUAAUACUCGAUAUUAUGCAUUGUCGCCUGAUAAUGCAUCAAAGCUCCGGCGCUUUGGGAGAAGCCUAUGGUCUAUCAGCUAGUUGGUGAGGUAAUGGCCCACCAAGGCGACGACGGAUAGCGGGUGUGAGAGCAUGACCCGUCUCACUGGGACUGAGACACUGCCCAGACUCCUACGGGAGGCUGCAGUCAAGAAUAUUCCUCAAUGGCCGAAAGGCUGAAGGAGCGACGCCGCGUGUAUGAUGAAGCCCUUCGGGGUGUAAAAUACUUUUAACCGGGACGAAGUACUGACGGUACCGGUUGAAUAAGGGGCUGCUAACCUCGUG
Molecule: ribosomal RNA, 453 nt
Filed under: uncultured bacterium
Lineage: Bacteria
Description: bacterial SSU rRNA
Rfam family: Bacterial small subunit ribosomal RNA
Source: RNAcentral